RNAcentral lists this ribosomal RNA (460 nucleotides) under uncultured bacterium. RNAcentral's name for it is "partial 16S ribosomal RNA". It matches the Rfam family "Bacterial small subunit ribosomal RNA", at positions 338 to 795 of the family's 1533-position model. The record is from RNAcentral.
CCUACGGGAGGCAGCAGUGAGGAAUAUUGGUCAAUGGCCGUAAGGCUGAACCAGCCAAGUAGCGUGAGGGAAGACUGCCCUAUGGGUUGUAAACCUCUUUUAUGCGGGGAUAAAGGUGUCCACGUGUGGAUGUUUGCAGGUACCGCAUGAAUAAGGACCGGCUAAUUCCGUGCCAGCAGCCGCGGUAAUACGGAAGGUCCGGGCGUUAUCCGGAUUUAUUGGGUUUAAAGGGAGCGUAGGCCGGUCUUUAAGCGUGCCGUGAAAUUUUGGGGCGCAACCAUGGGAGUGCGGCGCGAACUGGGGACCUUGAGUGCGCGGAAGGCAGGCGGAAUUCGUGGUGUAGCGGUGAAAUGCUUAGAUAUCACGAAGAACCCCGAUGGCGAAGGCAGCCUGCCGCAGCGUUACUGACGCUGAAGCUCGAAAGCGUGGGGAUCGAACAGGAUUAGAUACCCUUGUAGUC